RNAcentral lists this unclassified non-coding RNA (2838 nucleotides) under Hevea brasiliensis (rubber tree). Lineage: Eukaryota; Viridiplantae; Streptophyta; Magnoliopsida; Malpighiales; Euphorbiaceae. The record is from RNAcentral.
UGUUUGUGUUAUGUGAACAUGUUUAUGUUUGAUGUUGCUAUUGAUUCAAUAACCAAUUCGAACAUAAACAUGUUCACAUAACACAAACACAGUAGAUCAAGAGACAAAUAAUAAUGCUGAGAUAGAAAAUCGCACAACCAAACUCAAACAGGUGGAGAAACAGGACUCCAAAAGCAUGACAAAUCAUCUGAGUUCCAAGAGUUCCUCAACUACUGUGAAAUGAGAAUGCAGGAGUAUAUGGAGCAAUAUAAUCACAUUGAUUGAUCAUUGCUUUCGAUGCAUUUGAAGGAACGUCUCAAUGAGACCAAAGAUUUACUACCAGGACAACCAAAAACUUCAAGUAGCGUAAUAGACUCUUGAAAUCAUAACAGAUCUCACAGGACUCUCAAAGUUCCCUCACUUCGACUCCUGUGCAUUGACAGCUCUGAUCUAAAGUUCAGUUUGUUACUGAUAUCAAAAUAAUGAUGCCGAAGAUUGGUUGUUGCCUUAGUCCCAGUUGGUGGCAGACGAACAUGCCUACCCCUGGACCGCUUCGGUGAGACUACAGCUUGACUUUUACGACCGUGAAUUGAUGAAGAUGUUGGCCUGGUGCCAGCUAGUCCAUGGCUACUCUUCCGUGUAGCUUUGUUAUCUGACUUUAGGCCACGAUCAAACUGAUGGGCAUUGAUGCCCAGCCUUACUGAUCGGUCUGCAGCAUCUUUUAAUGUGCUGACUCUAAUUGGCUGCCUGUUGAAGUAAACAAGAUGGGGAAGAAGGCCUUGCAGAUAUUUCUUGAGUUGUUCAUCUCCAACAUUUUUCUGUGCUGGAUUUCCUUCCAAGCUAAUGGCUUGCAAGGAAUUGUAGUUGGCUGCAAGUUGGCCCAGACAUUUGGCUGUAGAGAUUUUGUUGAAACGCAGAUCCAGUACUGUUAGUUUUAAUAGGCGGUGGAGACCCUCUACCUCACUUAUUUUAUUUCCAGCCAAGUACAACUCUUUCAGGGAAGAACAAGAAGCCAGACCAUGCCCAAUUCUUAAUAUCCGGUUGUAGCUCAAGUCCAGCACACGGAGUCGGGUGAGUUCACGCAAACCCUCAAUAGUGGAAAUAUUGUUUUUUGACAGAUUCAACAAAUGAAGUCCUCGAGGAAGGGCGCCAGCAGCUAUUCUUACUAUGGAAUUUCCUGAUAGAUUAAGCACCCUCAGGCUAACAAAUGCACUAAGAAAUGGGAUCACUGCCAGCCCAUGAUUUGACAGCUGAGCUGUGGUAGCGGCAGCACUCAAAGAAGAGAUGUAUCUUUUAGCAGCUUCCAUGCCAGGAGUGACCACCUUAGCAUCCGCCUUUGUGCCACUCAAACCAUUGAUGACAGUGAAAUCUCUAUUCAUUGGGGGAUUAGAAUCUGAUAAAUCAUUUCUGUCUUCCAAUGGGCUGCAGUGUUGAAGAUCAAUGAUCCACUCCUCAAUCCGCUUAAUUUUAAAAUCCUUGCUCGGCAAUUCAUCAAACUCCCCACUGGAGGAUUUUCCUUGAAGUAUUGUUGCCAUGCUUACCUCAUCUGUAACUGGUAUAAUCCAGUCUUUUGCUGAAGCUGAAUAAUUGUAAGAAUCAUAAACAUCAUCAAGAGAAUUUUCAAAAUUAUUUUUCUCAGUUUUAGAAUCAUUAUCAUUUCUUUCAUGUUCNCGCCUGCUUUUCAACUUCACGAAAUGAAAACUCUUUCCACCUCAUAUGUAGUGCAUGUAAGUUCUCACAAGAUCUUGAACGAGGUGCUAAAUAUUUAUAGGAAUAUUGACCAGAAGAGGGUGAGGAAGGGCAAAUAGUAGGCAACGAGCAUGAUUUUACAAUCAUUGGAGGUGCGUGAGGCAUAUGAUUCCUAGAUUCAUUGCAAACUUCACCAGAUACCAGAGUUUCAAAAUUUUCAGGGCCCUCCUCUGAAUGUUGAGGAUCUUCAAUUGAAUGGAUGGAUUUAGCAUUGACAAUAUCAGAACCUAGUUGGGCAGUCUCUGAUUGUGGAACCUGACAGCUUGCGCUAACUCCUGCAUCCUUGGUGCUGUAUGGUCCACACAGCCCAUUUUGAUCAAGGGAAUCACUAGAAAAUCCUUGAUCUAUGUCGUCCUCCGUGUCAUUUUCACACAGAAUCCUUCCCUCAUGGCAUAAUCCACUUCCCAGAGACUGACUUUUCUUAAUAAGACCUUUCUGAUGGACUCGUGUGUCAUUUCCUAUAUUUAGUUUGCCCUUAAUUUCCUCUGAUUUCCUGCCCCGUUCAACUAACACAGAACUUGUAACACUCUUGAUGCUCCGACUAAUUUCAGUAUCUGCUUGCGCCUUGAGCAAUAAUGAAUUUGAGCUGGUAGCUUUAGGUGGUGCCAUAGGGGCUUCAAUUUGAGAGGUGGAGUCUUGUAAGGUCUUACGCAUUGAUUCAACAGAAUUUUCAAAGGGUUUCUUUGGUUUGUUGGAAUGGAUAUGCGCAUUGAAGCACGAAAACCUAACCAUUUUGACAACACUGAUAAGAGUUACAUCCACUUAUACUCUUGUGCUACAUAAAAAUUCUAUGGGUAAACAACUAUUCUAUUCUAAGCAUCAAUGUUCUGUUCAGAAGCCUGAAACAAGUACCAAACUUAACUAAUGUAGAAUGUCAACUAACAUCAAGCUUCUGGGGAUCUAGCAAAACGUGACCUUAGCCAUAAUCCAGAGACAAGCCCUCUGAAAUACGACACAAUCUCCAAACAUGACAUGACCUUGAUCUCCUCAAGAGACAAACCAAUAUCACUCCCUCGUUAUCACCCCACACCCAUCUAGAGGUGCGAGAAGACUUAAAAUUUGUUGCAGCGGCCAGAGUGAACCAAAAUCUUUGCCAAUUAGGAAAACGCA